CCUACGGGAGGCAGCAGUGAGGAAUAUUUGUCAAUGGGCGCGAGCCUGAACCAGCCAAGUAGCGUGAAGGAUGACUGCCCUACGGGUUGUAAACCUCUUUUAUAAAGGAAUAAAGUUCGGCACGUGUCCCUUUUUGUAUGUACCUUAUGAAUAAGGAUCGGCUAACUCCGUGCCAGCAGCCGCGGUAAUACGGAGGAUCCGAGCGUUAUCCGGAUUUAUUGGGUUUAAAGGGAGCGUAGAUGGCUUGUUAAGUCAGUUGUGAAAGUUUGCGGCUCAACCGUACAAUUGCAGUUGAUACUGGCAGUCUUGAGUAUAUUUGAGGUAGGCGGAAUUCGUGGUGUAGCGGUGAAAUGCUUAGAUAUCACGAAGAACUCCGAUUGCGAAGGCAGCUUACUAAGC
RNAcentral lists this ribosomal RNA (399 nucleotides) under uncultured bacterium. RNAcentral's name for it is "partial 16S ribosomal RNA". It matches the Rfam family "Bacterial small subunit ribosomal RNA", at positions 338 to 734 of the family's 1533-position model. The record is from RNAcentral.